ACCCCAUUCACUAAUAUUGUCAAAAGGGGAUUGAUUGUAUCAGUUAAGUCUAACCAUUCUUCAACCCUGGCCACACCUUUCUUCCUCUACUGUUUCAGAACAAGGUACAGUAGGUUUUCCUUCACAUAAAUGAAAUCACAAUCAUGUGAAUGCUGUGAAUGCUGGAUUAGGCUGAAAUGCUAGAAGAAACAAAAGUGAGACAAAUGUGAAGAUCUGUGUCCAUUUCUCAGCAGCACGUAUCAAUUGCAUCGUGGUUAGAGAAUGUAUCCAGAGGGUGAAGCAUGAUGCUUUAUUUGGAAAGCAUUUAAGGACAUGAAACGUUAUCUCUAGAGGGGAGUAAAUCAAGGCAAACGUGGAAUUUAGUAUAGCUCCUACCCUAGAUUAAAACUCCUGCCUAGGGCCGGGUAUGGUGACUCACACCUGUAAUCCCAGCACUCUGGGGGGGGCGAGGCAGGCAGAUCACAAUGUCAAGAGAUCUAGACCAUCCUGGCCGACAUGGUGAAACCCCAUCUCUACUAAAAAUACAAAAAAAUUAGCCAGUCAUGGUGGCACAUGCUUGUAGUCCCAGCUAUUCGGGAGGCUGAGGCAGGAGACUUGCUUGAACCCGGGAGGCAGAGGUUGCAGUGAGCUGAGAUUGUGCCACUGCACUCCAGCCUGGCGACAGAGUGAGACUCCGUCUCAAAAAAAAAAAAAAAAAAAAAAGAAAAACCCACAAACAAACAAAAAACUCCUCCCUGGAGAUUGAGUUUCGUGAGGAGAGAGACACAACCGUCACGUCCCCAGCACCCAGCCCAGGCCUGGCAUGUUAGAAGAACUUAAUGGAUAUUUUUGGAAUGCAUGAAUGGUGAACAAACAUAAAAUGUGUACUUCUUUUGGUGGAGGAGCUAUUUUUUGUGAGAAUAAGAGUGAAUACUUGUCUACUACUCCAAAAGAGAGACUGAAAUGAUGAUAACACUGGCAGUAGAAUUCAGUUCCCAGAAGGGAGAAUCUUACAAUCAUUCGGACUGUUAAAUGAAGGGACACCACUGCCUUAAGAGAAGGUGGACUUCUAGGUGUGGAGAGCAUUCAAAGAAAGGAUGCUCCCGUUCUUUGCCCCCGCUCAAUCAGUUGUGUAACAGGGGACAUUCCUCCAUGGAAUAGGGAGUUUUUCAGGAGACAUUUAGGACCACUUUAACUGUAAGAGUCCCAGAUUCUAAACGUUGGAGGUGGGCAGUGUGUAUUCUGGGAAGAGGGAAAUUCCCAAAGGUGUGGGCUGGAGCUAUUACAAUUGUGGAGUUGACAAGAGACUCUAAUUAACUGAGGACAGAUCAUGCAGCCAUCUAACACCCAAGUAAUUCAUACUCCCCUCAUUCAUUUCCGGAAUCCCUUGAUAACACUCCCUUGACAUGAUUUCUGUUCUUGAGGUCCCAAAGUACGGUCCACUAAAAUGAGAAUGUGCCGGAAUGUGGUGGUUAGCCCUGGCAGGAAUCUCCUGUCCCACUGAAGGAUAGCAGGCGUUUCCUCUCCCUCUUCCUGCUCAUGGCCUGUGAAGGAAGAACUAAUGGAAUGAGUUUGGGGGCAGAUGAAUACCCCUGAGGUGCGCUGGCCCUAUCCUUUCCCUUAGACCAUUUGCCUUUAACUCUCUCUUGAACAACUGUUCGGUAAAGUUAAUAGCUACAAGCUCUUCAGGGGAAGGUUUGUUAAAAUCACGUCCAAGAAAAUAAAUAUAAUGAAUGAACAAUCUCUGGAGAAAGCCUUGACAUUUAAAAAAAAAUGUAAAUUAGUCUCACAAGGAUCCGCUAUGAAAUAGGCAAAGUGCAUUAGUACAAAUGAGAUAUUUUUACAGCGAUUAUAGGAGCCAUCUCCUGGGGACCACACCUGAACUCUUAAGGGCUGAACCAAAAGCCAGUUGUGUACCCAGGAAUCUAGCGUGACAGAUUUGAAUGUAUUCCACUAAUAACUCUCCUCACCCCAUGCCUGCAUUUCAGUGCACGGUUCCCCUGUUGCUCAAUGAGCUUUGAUACAAGGAUGCUGGAGCAUGGCUUUGAACUCCUCUGAACCCAAUUAUACCCAACCAUUUGGAAGUGCCAUGGUGAGAUGAUGGCAGAACAGUGCUCUCUGAACUAGCAUACAGAGAGUUCACGAAGUAGCUGACUGUGGCGCGUGUGGCAGCCAAUUCAUACGUAGAAGUGGGCUGCCAGUGGCACCGCUGCCUGCCAGCCUGAAGCAAGCAUGGAGAAUAUAAAAGGGAAAUUCAAUUAGUUAACCAAAAACGGAUUGAGCAAAGUGAAGGGGCAGCUGGUGGCAGCUUCCACACUUUGAUUUGCAAGAGAGAUGUCUUGCUCCAGCACGGGCUCCUUGCACUGGGUGAAUGUGUCAAAGGAGAGAGCUUCCUCGCAGUGAGGGGGAGGCAUUUCCCCUCCCCGGAGUAAUUCCCUGCUCUUCAGUCAUAAUGGAAGUCCCUUCUCCAGGUGGGAAUCCCAGGCUUUUUCUCUCCAAAUCAGCUUGGGACCAAUUAAGACGUCCGCAAUAGAAAAAAAGAGGGCUCAGCAGUCAGGCUAUUGCUCUUUCCCCACAGGGUGGGAGGCUGACGCACUUUCUUAUCAAACGACGUGUAUGGUACUCAGGAUGAAAAAAAAAAAAAAAAAGGAGGCUUUUGUGACCAGGCUCUAAGGAAAGGAGCUGUAUUUUAUUUCUAUCAUAAAUCUGUUUUGUUUUAUGGCCUGAACAUAAAAUCUUAAAAUGACGUUUUAAAUCUGGACUAACAUGGAUCCGUUUUCGCCUAUUGCAGCCGACCUGACCUGCAGGCCCCUGAUGUGGGGUUGCCAUUCACACUUGUCAUCUUUAAAGUUUGGGGAGGUCACAAGGUGAGGAGCUAGAGUGGUUAAUUUCUCAACUUUGCUGGAGGUCAGAAAUCACCAGAUCUUUACAAUGCAGCAGUCCGUUUUGUUAGGCUCCUUGACUUCUCAAACAAUGUGUCGGCCAGUGGUUCUCCUUAAGCAUCCAAAAUAUGUUACUAAAGGAGGUUUCGUUGUUUAGAUGGAGUGAGAUGAACACGUACGUGAAGUGACCCCUCCCAGCAUCUGGCAGUACGGACGCGCCGUUGCCUGAGGAUUUUGCAUCUGACAUGCUGGGGUGGUGGGUCCUGCCCCAGCCUGCCCCUGGGUCGCAUGGGAGCCAGGGAUUAAAUAAACGCCCCCGGCCCGGUGCGGUGGCUCACGCCUGUAAUCCCAGCACUUUAGGAGGCUGAGGUCGGCGGAUCACCUGAAGUCAGGAGUUCGAGACCAGCCAGGCCAACAUAGUGAAACUGCUUGUCUACUAAAAAUACAAAAAAAUAGCCGGGCAUGGUUGUGUGCAUCUUGUAGUCCCAGCUACUCUGGAGGCUGAGACAGGAGAAUCACGUGAACCUGGGAGGCGGAGCUUGCAGUGAGCCGAGAUGGCACUACUGCACUCCAGCCUGGGCAACAAAGCAAGACUCUGUCUCAAAAAAAAAAAAAAAAAAAAAAAAAAAAAAAAAUGCCCCCACCUCCACCGUGCUCUGUCAUCUCAGAGAGGGGGCCCCCUAACCCACACCUCCUCAGCACCCCCUCUAUUUGCUAAGACCACCCUGCUGCCUGGUCUCUCUGCUCUGCAUCCCACCUAUUAGUUUUGUCAGCCUUCCUCUUCCUGAUUUUGUGUCAAACCAAAAGAAAACUCUUUCGUUUUUGAGCUUCUGGAGGACAGAGGUACCCAUCCCUCCAGGAGCCACCAGAACCUUGCUAAGUCUUAGGCAAAUAAACCUUUCUCAUCUUCUUUCUGGCCUUUUAUCCCCUUCCACUCCCAGUCCAAGCUUUCCUUAAUAGAUCUAAACUCCCCAAAUCACAGCCUGAGUGGGAGAUUUCCUUGUGGGUACUUUCAAUUUCUGUUUUUAGCCUUUCAAUAAGAAGACGUUAACUACCUUGUUAGUUCAGAAAGGCUAGGCUCGGAACACAAAGAGCUUUUGGUACAGCAGUGGAAAAAAUACCUCUGAUUUAUUUCUGCCUAGGUUAAAAUAAAACACAAAUUAAUAUAUGGAAUGACAUUUUCUGCCACACCGAUGUCAGUGUUCAUUUAGAACAUGGAUCACAGCAAACAUCUUAGGUGCUUCCUCCCCCUCCCUUCCAAUACGUGAGAAGCAGCCUCAUUCUUUUACUUUUCCAGUGGCUCUCACAUGUUUGCUGUAAGAUGAAAACCUUCCUUUCAUCCAGACUGCUUCUGGCCCUCUGUUCCUCUUUGUGCUCUGGAAAAGCUUCCUAACCGGGCUCCCUACCUGUGGUCUUUCUCCGUUUUAGUGUAUCAUGUAAUAAUGGUAUUCAUUCCUCUGUGUGCCAGGAACUGGGCUAAGCACUUUGCACAAAUUAUCUCAGUGUGUCUUUACUAGGGCCCUGAGGGCUAGAGAUUGUUAUUGUGCAGGCGUCUAAUGAUUUUCUUUAAUUCUCUUGAAUUUGCAGUGGUGUUAGUUUGCCUGUUGCGUGAAGUCCAAAUGCCUUUAGCACCCUCAUGGCCUGACUUGAACCAACGUUCUCGAUUUAUCUAAUAGUUACUACUCCUAAAACUGAGCCAGCUGGAUGGCACAGACUUCUCUGAUGAUCCCAUGAUCCCAUCUUUUUUUUUUUUUUAAUACCUAUACUGUUUUUAACCCUUCAUUCUUGUCUUCUGCCUCCCCUUUCUCUUGAAUUAUUUCACCUUCCAUGUGCUCCUCAUCUGUGGAAA
Molecule: long non-coding RNA, 4710 nt
Filed under: Homo sapiens (human)
Lineage: Eukaryota; Metazoa; Chordata; Mammalia; Primates; Hominidae
Description: HSALNT0115526
Source: RNAcentral